AGAAUUACGUUAGAGUCUGCGGUCGACCGCUUUUUGCGCUUCACUCCGAUCCCACCUUCGCAGGUUUGAUUUCUGCAAAAGAAAAGAAAACGGGUUUCUUAAAUAAAAUCUAGACUGGAAGUGGAACGGACACAUACAUUUGUAGCUGGGUGCCUGGAACAGGUUUACAGUUCUACUUUGAAGCAAACCAUAAAGAAUUUCAUUGUUCAAGAUGGAUCUGAGUGUAAUUUUGUUGACAGUACUCUCAUUAGGCAUGGGAAGUUAUGCUUUGAAAAUUACUGCACAGGAUUUCAGAGUGGGAGCCUUCAGUUUGAAAGUUUUUGGGCAGACAAAGAUAACAGAUCUAUCCAUUGUGGCUACAAUUGCCAGGGUCAUCAUGCGCUAUGACAUCAUCUUGCUACAAGGGAUCAUAGAUAGUGAGGGCACAGCAAUUGAUGAUCUUCUGAAAUUAGUUAAUAGUGUAGAAAGUGAUGAUCCAUAUUCAAUGAUUAUUAGUGAAGGCUUAGGUAGUUCUGAUACCAUGGAACAUUAUGCAUACUUGUACAGGAGUAGCAGAGCCAACUUGGUGAGAAGUUACAAAGACACAGGAGAUAGGUUUCAGAGAGAGCCAUAUAUUGCCAUAUUUGAAUCUCGUUACACAGCUGUGUCUCCAUUUGCCAUUGUUGGAAUCAAAACCACAUUGGAGGAAAUAAAUCUUCUGGCUGAUGUUGACAGUGAGCUGGAAGUCAAGAAUGUAAUCUUUGCUGGAGACUUCAACGCUAAUUGUGGCUAUGUAUCAAAUAAUCGAUGGAAAGAGGUGGAAUUACGUGAAAACCCGCGGUAUAAAUGGCUAAUAGAAGAUGAUGUGGAUACUACACCUUCUGAUACAGACUGUGCCUAUAGAUUUGUGAUAGCUGGUGCUGGUAUGGAAUCUUCUAUUCUCCCAUGUUCUGCUUCAAUCUUCAGAUUCGAUGUUGAAUAUAAUCUGACACAAGAACAGGUUGAGAUUGUUUGUGAUCACUAUCCUAUUGAGGUUUCUAUAUUACCAUCCCAGUUUAAGUAUAGUGAUCCUUCAUUGAACAUUGCAGCCUUCAAUAUUCAAAUCUUUGGAGUAACUAAAUCUGGUAAAGACAAUGUCAUGGAUAUUUUAGCUAAGAUUUUGAAUCGUUAUGACCUGAUCUUGAUCCAGGAGAUACGUGAUUCAAGGGCAAAUGAACCAGCAGUAAGAGAGCUUCAAGAUUUGGUCAACAGAAACAAUGAAGAUCCAUUCCAGUAUGUGAUCAGUGAGCGACUUGGAAGAUCAAGCAGUAAAGAGCAGUAUGCAUACUUUUACAGACCAAGUAAGCUGGAGCUCGUUACAAGUUAUGUGUUUGAAGAAACACAAGGAGAUGUAUUUCAGAGGGAGCCCUAUAUUGCUUACUUCAAAUCACCAACAACUUAUGUGAAGGAGUUUAUAAUAGGUGGUAUUCAUACAAAACCAGAUGAAGCAGUUGCAGAGAUAGACAACCUUGUUGAUGUUUACAGUGCCAUCCAAGAGAAGUAUGAAGUUGAGAAUGUCAUUUUUGCUGGAGAUUUCAAUGCUGACUGUUCGUAUGUGGCUAAGAAAAGAUGGUCUGAUAUUCGCCUGAAGAGUGAUUCUCGUUUCUGUUGGCUCAUAAACAAUGAUGUUGAUACUACAGUCAAGGGUACUGAUUGUGCUUAUGAUAGGUUUGUGAUAAGUGGCAAGGAGAUGAAGGAAGGAAUUGUACCCUAUUCAGCCAAAGUGUUCCGCUUUGAUCUGAUGUAUGAGCUCAAUCAAAGUGAGGCAGAACUUGUGAGUGAUCAUUAUCCAAUAGAGCUGCAGUUGCGAGCACUGACAGAUGACAAGGAGUAUCGAAAAGCAGAAAUACUGAGGAAGUAUGAGUUAUAAAGGUCACCAUUUAUUUUGUGAAGUUUCAUCUCAUUUAGCAUAAAAGGGUUCACCGGUCAUUAUAAUGAGAGCAGCUUUGUGCUACGACCCCCGGAAGGAUGAAAAUAGAGUCAUGAAUAUACAGUACAUCCCAGAUAAAACAAAAUUCCUCUGGACUAGGACAUCAUCAGUACAUUGAAAGGAAACUUAUCGUGCUCCAGACAACAAUUAUCAUGGGCUUAUACCUUAU
This 2117-nucleotide unclassified non-coding RNA is filed under the name Lytechinus variegatus (green sea urchin). RNAcentral describes it as "uncharacterized LOC121410172, transcript variant X1". The record is from RNAcentral. Lineage: Eukaryota; Metazoa; Echinodermata; Echinoidea; Temnopleuroida; Toxopneustidae.